AGCAGCCGCGGUAAUUCCAGCUCCAAUAGCGUAUAUUAAAGUUGUUGCAGUUAAAAAGCUCGUAGUUGAACUUCAGGCCCGGCGGGGUGGUCUGCCUCACGGUAUGUACUACCCUGCUGGGCCUUACCUCUUGGUGAGCCCGUAUGCCGUUUACUCGGUGUGCGGAGGAACCAGGAAUUUUUACUGUGAAAAAAUUAGAGUGUUCAAAGCAGGCAAAUCGCUUGGAUACAUUAGCAUGGAAUAAUGGAAUAGGACAAUGGUUCUAUUUGUUGGUUUCUAGGACCGUUGUAAUGAUUAAUAGGGAUAGUUGGGGGCAUUAGUAUUCAAUUGUCAGAGGUGAAAUUCUUGGAUUUAUGAAGACUAACUACUGCGAAAGCAUUUAGCCAAGGAUGUUUUCAUUAAUCAAGAACGAAAGUUAGGGAUCGGAAGACGAUCAGAUACCGUCGUAGUCUUAACCAUAAACUAUGCCGACUAGGAAUCAGACGAUGUUAA
RNAcentral lists this ribosomal RNA (492 nucleotides) under uncultured fungus. RNAcentral describes it as "bacterial SSU rRNA". It matches the Rfam family "Eukaryotic small subunit ribosomal RNA", at positions 569 to 1066 of the family's 1831-position model. Lineage: Eukaryota; Fungi. The record is from RNAcentral.